ACCAGUGCAGCCAGCAAUUGCCGCCCAUCUGUGCCUUCUUUCACUGUAGUGAAACUUAUCGCAGCGUUCGUGGUACGCUCAGGUGUGUUGCGCCGAUAAGACUCGCAUACAGUUGCUCUCCGUUCGUCUGGCGGAUACGUGUGUCGUUUUUCUCCGUAGACGUCUCAUUUUGACUCCGAGUUCCACUGACUGGCCAUUAAAACUGCUCUGAAGUGUCAAAUCAGGACUACUCCCAAAUACGACUUCUGCCUCCAAGAUUGGUAAAGGAUUCAACUCCAGGGACCAGACGGCGGUCCUCACUGGACGUGAGGCCAUCGGCAGCGGCGCACCGACAUGAGCGGGAACCCGUGGACGGCGGCGUCCGCCUGCCCCUACUGCGGCCGCCAGCUGCCUUCCUCGCACUUGCAGAUCCACCUGGACGAGUGUGACCUGGCGCUGGAGAAAUGCCCCAACUCGUGUGGAGUAUCAGUUCAGCGACG
This is a long non-coding RNA of Schistocerca americana (American grasshopper), 479 nucleotides long. RefSeq lists it as uncharacterized. NCBI's taxonomy places the organism in Eukaryota, Metazoa, Arthropoda, Insecta, Orthoptera, Acrididae. The record is from RefSeq and is a predicted model, not a curated record. The transcript is spliced from 3 exons.